Molecule: non-coding RNA, 80 nt
Organism: Bombyx mori (domestic silkworm)
Lineage: Eukaryota; Metazoa; Arthropoda; Insecta; Lepidoptera; Bombycidae
Gene: Mir14
Product: microRNA mir-14
Exons: 1
Source: RefSeq, marked provisional
UUGUCAUUUGUGUCGGGGAGAGAAAUCGACGAGGCUGUUUUAUUUAGUCAGUCUUUUUCUCUCUCCUAUAUGAGUGACAU